CAGGGAAUAUUAGAAAUGGACGAAAGUCUGAUCUAGCAACACCGCGUGUGCGAAGAAGGUCUUCGGGUCGUAAAGCACUUUUUGGAAGGAAUAGGAAGGAAUGUACUUCCAGAAUAAGUCUCGGCUAACUACGUGCCAGCAGCCGCGGUAACACGUAGGAGGCGAACGUUGUCCGGAUUUACUGGGCGUAAAGCGCGUGUAGGUGGUACUGUAAGUAGGGCGUGAAAGCUCCUGGCUCAACUGGGAGAGGCCGUUCUAAACUACAGAACUAGAGGAUGGUAGAGGGAGGUGGAAUUCCAGGUGUAGCGGUGGAAUGCGCAGAUAUCUGGAGGAACACCGGUGGCGAAGGCGGCCUCCUGGACCAUUCCUGACACUCAGACGCGAAAGCUAGGGUAGCAAACGG
RNAcentral lists this ribosomal RNA (403 nucleotides) under uncultured bacterium. RNAcentral's name for it is "bacterial SSU rRNA". It matches the Rfam family "Bacterial small subunit ribosomal RNA", at positions 355 to 775 of the family's 1533-position model. The record is from RNAcentral.